AACGAACGCUGGCGGCGCGCCUAACACAUGCAAGUCGAACGAGAAUCCGGGGCAACCCGGUAGUAAAGUGGCAAACGGGUGAGGAAUACAUGGGUAACCUACCCUUGAGAAGGGAAUAACCCGCCGAAAGGUGAGCUAAUACCCUAUACGCUAUCUUUUUUCGAAAGGAUAGAAAGCCGGGUCGAGGACCUGGUACUCAAGGAGGGGCGUCAUGUCCUAUCAGCUUGUUGGUGGGGUAACGGGCCUACCAAGGCUACGACGGGUAGCUGGUCUGAGAGGAUGAUCAGCCACACUGGCACUGAGAUACGGGCCAGACUCCUACGGGAGGCAGCAGUGAGGAAUAUUGCGCAAUGGGCGAAAGCCUGACGCAGCGACGCCGCGUGGGGGAGUGAAGGUUUUCGGUAUUGU
Molecule: ribosomal RNA, 408 nt
Filed under: uncultured bacterium
Lineage: Bacteria
Description: bacterial SSU rRNA
Rfam family: Bacterial small subunit ribosomal RNA
Source: RNAcentral